CAGAGAGUAAUUUAAAUAAAAUCCCGUCUUUGGGAGACAGAAAUCCAGCCCUGGCUCUCUGA
Molecule: transfer RNA, 62 nt
Filed under: Sclerolinum brattstromi
Lineage: Eukaryota; Metazoa; Annelida; Polychaeta; Sabellida; Siboglinidae
Description: tRNA-Pro
Source: RNAcentral